This is a long non-coding RNA of Pleuronectes platessa (European plaice), 402 nucleotides long. RefSeq lists it as uncharacterized. NCBI's taxonomy places the organism in Eukaryota, Metazoa, Chordata, Actinopteri, Pleuronectiformes, Pleuronectidae. The transcript is spliced from 3 exons. The record is from RefSeq and is a predicted model, not a curated record.
ACGGUAGUAUUAGCCAUGAACAGGGAGGAGGAGAUGAUGAGUCCGAACCCGAGGCUCAUGGACUGAGUGAGCCGCUGCCGGUGCACCAGAGCUGAUUGGAACUGAAGAGCGCAGACAAGGCUAUGCACCAAGAGCUGAUUGGACUGAAGAGAGCAGAUAAGGCCAGUUCAUCGGCAGCUGCCAGGGGCUCUCUUCUCUCAACGUCCAGGUUUUCUGCCAGCUAUCAUGACAAAUUUAUAGAUUCAUUUUAAAUAAACAAUUGAGUGUGAAGUCACUGCACAUUUCCUGGUGUUUUUUUGGUACCUGAAAGAGAGUUUUUUUAGUUAAAUUGUGCACCUUUUCCACUAGGCCAGAACGUUUGUACAUUUAGAAGACAUAAGUUACGUCAAUUUAAUGGCAGAU